Molecule: long non-coding RNA, 535 nt
Organism: Octopus sinensis (East Asian common octopus)
Lineage: Eukaryota; Metazoa; Mollusca; Cephalopoda; Octopoda; Octopodidae
Exons: 2
Source: RefSeq, a predicted model, not a curated record
ACACACAUUCUUACUCAGAAUUAAGUUUUGGCAAAAGUGAAAGCUUCUGUAAAACCGAAAGUGAAAGUGGAGGGUUAUAAAGUGCUUAUUUGGGGAAAGACGACUGUCGCGUCAGUUCCUCGUAGACCAUAAAGAAUUCUCAAGAACUCUGUGGAUGAGAUGACACACAAGUCACCUCAUAGUUGUGGAGAUAAAUGAACAGAAAUAUUUCUUUACGAAAGACUGAUUUCCGAAGCUUAUCAUCGGCAUUUCUGAUGUGUAGCCAGUAUAAAGUGGCGUUUGGAAUAAUGGAUCUCAGACCAGCUACUCAAUAUGUCUGUGCAACAUACUGCAAAACUCACCUGAGAAGAUGCCUUUACGAUGAUAAUGCAGACUGGAACACUAUCUUGGAAGAGGUAGUGUAUCUCUACAAUCUUACAUUCUCCAAACAAAAUGAAGAGCCGUUUUCCUAUCAUUUUCUGCACUAUCCAUUCUCCAGCAAGUUUGGCAUAAUUACCAGGGAUCAUGACAGAAGACAAUUUAUCAAGAGCAUCAA